AACGCGAAGAACCUUACCUGGGCUUGAACCGCACAGGACCAUUCCUAGAAAUAUCCCUUCCUCGCAAGAGGCUGCUGUAUAGGUGCUGCAUGGCUGUCGUCAGCUCGUGUCGUGAGAUGUUGGGUUAAGUCCCGCAACGAGCGCAACCCUCAUCCCUAGUUGCCACCGGGUAAUGCCGAGCACUCUAGUGAAACCGCCCCGGAUAACGGGGAGGAAGGUGGGGAUGACGUCAAGUCCUCAUGGCCUUUAUGUCCAGGGCUACACACGUGCUACAAUGGUCGGUACAAACCGUCGCAAAGCUGCAAAGUGGAGCUAAUCGGAAAAAGCCGGCCUCAGUUCGGAUUGGAGUCUGCAACUCGACUCCAUGAAGCUGGAAUCGCUAGUAAUCGCAGAUCAGAACGCUGCGGUGAAUACGUUCCCGGGCCUUGUACACACCGCGCAUA
Molecule: ribosomal RNA, 443 nt
Filed under: uncultured bacterium
Lineage: Bacteria
Description: bacterial SSU rRNA
Rfam family: Bacterial small subunit ribosomal RNA
Source: RNAcentral